CAUGAAGUUGGAAUCGCUAGUAAUCGCGGAUCAGCAUGCCGCGGUGAAUACGUUCCCGGGCCUUGUACACACCGCCCGUCACACCAUGAGAGUCGGGAACACCCGAAGUCCGUAGCCUAACCGCGAAGGGGGGCGCGGCCGAAGGUGGGUUCGAUAAUUGGGGUGAAGUCGUAACAAGGUAGC
RNAcentral lists this ribosomal RNA (183 nucleotides) under uncultured bacterium. RNAcentral describes it as "partial 16S ribosomal RNA". It matches the Rfam family "Bacterial small subunit ribosomal RNA", at positions 1319 to 1500 of the family's 1533-position model. The record is from RNAcentral.